CGGUCACUCUGACCAAAUCUGGUGGGUACACAAUUUAAAGGACAGGACGAGCGAAUUCUGGAAAAACAUUACAACAGCAUGAGCUCAUCGUGUUUGAUAAUGAUUAAUGGACAUAGUCGACGUGGAGGUUUACUUGCGCAUACACAUAUAGUAAGUUUAGAGUGAAUGGUGACGAUACAAGAAAGAAAAACCCCUGAGCUCCGUUUUAGUUGGUGCUUUUCCAAGGAAACGCUGGUGAGGAAUCCAGGGAAUGCGACUUCUCGGCAGAGAUCAAAAGGGUUGAACAUUAACUGAGCUGAACUCUUCAGCCCUCCAGUGCUGCUCCCAGGGACUGCUUCUCAAGUUCAAGGGUCCCGCAGGAGCCCUGUUGAAUGCUCAGUGUCAAUAACAGAUGCUGCAUUACAUUGCCCAAUUGCCCAGCUCCUGUUCUGGCACGACACCGGCUUCACUCCCCGUCAGCAAUCGGCCACAGCUGCCUGCAUCGGUCAUUUCAUUGUUGUUUAUUUAAACUAGCUAUGACAGAAGGUGUAAGCUAUGAAAUAUUUGUAUCUACUACUUGCAUAUUGUCCUGUUUUAAAUAUAUAAAACUACAAAGAUGUGUGUGUUACUUUCUUACUUACUAAAGUAAUGAGAAUUAAUAAAUUAACCAUUAACAUACACGGUUGAAUAGUUUGAAUUAUAGAUAAAGAUAGAUAAUUAUAGAAAACAGCUUUCUUAAGUGUUUUUUUUCCACUUAACUGAACAGAAUAGACAACUGUAUUACAGAUAUUCAUUGUAACUGUAUUAGAGAUUAUCAUUGUAACUGUAUUACAA
Molecule: long non-coding RNA, 813 nt
Organism: Larimichthys crocea (large yellow croaker)
Lineage: Eukaryota; Metazoa; Chordata; Actinopteri; Sciaenidae
Exons: 3
Source: RefSeq, a predicted model, not a curated record